UGAGGAAUAUUGGUCAAUGGGCGAGAGCCUGAACCAGCCAAGUAGCGUGCAGGAUGACGGCCCUAUGGGUCGUAAACUGCUUUUAUAUGGGAAUAAAGUGAGGGACGUGUCCCUUAUUGCAUGUACCAUAUGAAUAAGGACCGGCUAAUUCCGUGCCAGCAGCCGCGGUAAUACGUAGGUGGCAAGCGUUGUCCGGAAUUAUUGGGCGUAAAGCGCGCGCAGGCGGUCACUUAAGUCCAUCUUAGAAGUGCGGGGCUUAACCCCGUGGUGGGAUGGAAACUGGGAGACUGGAGUGUCGGAGAGGAAAGUGGAAUUCCUAGUGUAGCGGUGAAAUGCGUAGAUAUUAGGAAGAACACCGGUGGCGAAGGCGACUUUCAGGACGAAAACUGACGCUGAGGCGCGAAAGCGUGGGGAGCAAACAGG
This 423-nucleotide ribosomal RNA is filed under the name Verrucomicrobiota bacterium. RNAcentral's name for it is "Verrucomicrobia bacterium partial 16S ribosomal RNA". It matches the Rfam family "Bacterial small subunit ribosomal RNA", at positions 355 to 776 of the family's 1533-position model. The record is from RNAcentral. Lineage: Bacteria; Pseudomonadati; Verrucomicrobiota.